AUCACUGUUAAUCUAUCUAUUACUGUCAAUCUAUCUAUCACUGCUAAUCUAUCACUGCUAAUCUAUCACUGCUAAUCUAUCACUAUUAAUCUAUCUAUCACUAUCAAUCUAUCUACUACUGUCAAUUUAUCUAUCACUGUCAAUCUAUCUAUCACUGUCAAUCUAUCUACCACUGUCAAUCUAUCUACCACUGCUAAUCUAUCACUGCUAAUCUAUUGCUGCUAAUCUAUUGCUGCUAAUCUAUUACUGCUAAUCUAUUGCUGUUAAUCUAUCUAUCACUGCUAAUCUAUUGCUGUCAAUCUAUCUACUACUAUCAAUCUAUCUACUGCUGUCAAUCUAUCUACCACUGCUAAUCUAUCACUGCUAAUCUAUUGCUGCC
RNAcentral lists this small RNA (379 nucleotides) under Histoplasma capsulatum. RNAcentral describes it as "hypothetical RNA". The record is from RNAcentral. RNAcentral also lists the same sequence under 1 other name. Lineage: Eukaryota; Fungi; Ascomycota; Eurotiomycetes; Onygenales; Ajellomycetaceae.